GGGCGUUUAGCUCAGCGGGAGAGCAUUGCCUUCACACGGCAAGGGUCACUGGUUCAAUCCCAGUAACGCCCACCA
This 75-nucleotide transfer RNA is filed under the name Geothermobacter hydrogeniphilus. RNAcentral's name for it is "Geothermobacter sp. EPR-M tRNA-Val". It matches the Rfam family "tRNA". From Rfam's summary of the family: Transfer RNA (tRNA) molecules are approximately 80 nucleotides in length. Their secondary structure includes four short double-helical elements and three loops (D, anti-codon, and T loops). Lineage: Bacteria; Pseudomonadati; Thermodesulfobacteriota; Desulfuromonadia; Desulfuromonadales; Geothermobacteraceae. The record is from RNAcentral.